This 253-nucleotide ribosomal RNA is filed under the name uncultured bacterium. RNAcentral describes it as "partial 16S ribosomal RNA". It matches the Rfam family "Bacterial small subunit ribosomal RNA", at positions 524 to 776 of the family's 1533-position model. The record is from RNAcentral.
UACAGAGGGUGCAAGCGUUGUUCGGAAUUAUUGGGCGUAAAGCGCACGUAGGCGGCUUUGUAAGUUAGAGGUGAAAGCCCGGAGCUCAACUCCGGAAUAGCCUUUAAGACUGCAUCGCUAGAACGUUGGAGAGGUAAGUGGAAUUCCGAGUGUAGAGGUGAAAUUCGUAGAUAUUCGGAAGAACACCAGUGGCGAAGGCGACUUACUGGACAACUGUUGACGCUGAGGUGCGAAAGCGUGGGGAGCAAACAGG